RNAcentral lists this ribosomal RNA (513 nucleotides) under Listeria monocytogenes. RNAcentral's name for it is "bacterial SSU rRNA". It matches the Rfam family "Bacterial small subunit ribosomal RNA", at positions 1027 to 1533 of the family's 1533-position model. The record is from RNAcentral. Lineage: Bacteria; Bacillati; Bacillota; Bacilli; Caryophanales; Listeriaceae.
CAAAGUGACAGGUGGUGCAUGGUUGUCGUCAGCUCGUGUCGUGAGAUGUUGGGUUAAGUCCCGCAACGAGCGCAACCCUUGAUUUUAGUUGCCAGCAUUUAGUUGGGCACUCUAAAGUGACUGCCGGUGCAAGCCGGAGGAAGGUGGGGAUGACGUCAAAUCAUCAUGCCCCUUAUGACCUGGGCUACACACGUGCUACAAUGGAUAGUACAAAGGGUCGCGAAGCCGCGAGGUGGAGCUAAUCCCAUAAAACUAUUCUCAGUUCGGAUUGUAGGCUGCAACUCGCCUACAUGAAGCCGGAAUCGCUAGUAAUCGUGGAUCAGCAUGCCACGGUGAAUACGUUCCCGGGCCUUGUACACACCGCCCGUCACACCACGAGAGUUUGUAACACCCGAAGUCGGUAGGGUAACCUUUAUGGAGCCAGCCGCCGAAGGUGGGACAGAUAAUUGGGGUGAAGUCGUAACAAGGUAGCCGUAUCGGAAGGUGCGGCUGGAUCACCUCCUUUCUAAGGAA